GGGCUACCAGCCCACCUUUAUAGGCCAGACUGAUGGCUCUAUCAGCCGCAGAUGAGUCAGGCAAAAUGCUCCUCUGGUGAAUUCCAGAACGCCACGCAGCAGAGUAGGGAAAGAAAAGAGAUGACUGAGUUAACGCGGUAAUAGGGUGAAGGAAUAGAUAUCAGGGAGAGGGAUGGAGAGGAACGAGGAGGAGAGGGAAUGGAAAAAAAGCAGUAAGGGAGUGAAGGGGAAAGGCAGGACAGAGAGUGAGAGAUAGUGUGAGAUUGAGAGGGAGAGAGAGUGAUGGUAAGAGAGAGAGCGGGAGGGAUGUGAGAGAGGGAGCCAAAGUGGGAGAGAGAGAUGGUGAGAGGGUGCAUUGCUCAUGUGGAUUCUAAUCAAUUGUGGACGUUAAGGGCUCAGCGACAGUCAGAGAGAUUGAAGUCCUUCACUCCUUCACUGGAGGCGGCCAACGUCAGCGCUGGACUGACAAAUGGGAGGCACGACGCUCUGCCUUCAGGCACAGCGUUUCAACUGGUAUCUCAUCAUGGCGGAAGUAGCUAAGCCCCUGAUUGGUGUUGAUUUCCUGUGGACAUGGGGAUGUGAAGAACCGCCGACUGGUGGAUGCUAAAAUGUUAUAUCCUUUACCUGCAUGCUCAGCAUCUUCCCCACAAGGUCACUGUCCCAUGCACACGUGGCCCACAAUGAGUUUACUCUACCAGUUCCCGGACUUAACAAAGCCUCUUUCUGCCACCCCAGAGACCAGGCACGGGCUGGAGCCCAUGCUCAUGUCCGCCACCUUGACCCGGAGAAGUUUGCUGUGGCAAAAGCUUUUGCAAGCAUGGAGAACCUUGGAAUAAUCUGCGGGUCCAACAGCUCGUGGUACACACAUGGUCCUGAAGACAAAGGGGGCAGCGCCGCCUUGGGUACUACCGCCUUCUCAAUGACGCCACUACCCCUGACAAGUAUCCGGUCCCGCACAUACAGGACUGGGAUGGACAUAUUCUCCAAAGUGGAUUUGGUCCAGAUCUUCAAUCAUGGGCCUGUGCGCCCAGAAUACAUCCAUAAGAGAGCUGUUUUCAUCCCCUUUAGACUGUUCUAGUCCCUGCGCAUGCCUUUCGAGUUUAAAACACCGCCCAAGCUUUCCAGCGCCUAAUGGACUCCCUUUUUUCUUCAUCUAUUUUGGAUGACAUCCUCAUUGCCAGCACCUCCAAGCCAUGUCAAAGGUCUCCGAGCCGUGGUCUGCCCGCCAGCAGCGGCACCUGGCCUUCAUAUCUGUGUCCACUUCAGAAGCCCAGCAUGUAGCAGGGAGGUGCAACGUUGUGGCAGACUGUCUCUCCGGACCCAUCAUAGACCCUGACAAAAGUUCAUUAUACUGAGCUCUUGAAAGGUUACCAGAUGAGUAUACUGUUGAGCUUGUAUCUUGUGUGUGUGUGUGUGUGUCAUGAAUCACAAAUUAAGGUUUCAGUAAUCGACAAAACAAUAUUCUAGUGCAUAUACAAAGGAUUGGAAAUGGAUAGGAGUCAAACUUAGACUGUGCCAGCAAGUUAAGCAUUUUAGUAGUAUCGGCACCUCUGUCAACAUGCCUGUGGGUUCUUCUGGUGUGCUGACAGAUAAUGAAUGGAAAUGGAGCACAUUAUAAUGCAAUCCUGAGUUUAGAUGGAGUGUAAUGGAGCAUUUCCACCGGCAAAAGUGGGCGUUAUCUGGUCUGAGCAGUAUUGAGCCGUACUCAUCAGAAUCGUAAAUUCCGUGCAACAGGGGGAUAAUAACAAACACACGCAGUCCUUGAUUGCACGUGUCCAAACUAGUUUCUACACAGUCUAGCAAUCCUUCUGGGACUUUGUAUAGCAACAGUCCCCACAAUGACCAAAUAAUUGCAAUACAAAGACCAUAUUCUACGCUAGCAACAUUGUUUCUCCUAUGAGGUAGCUAACCGAAAGCGCUAAUAUUAGCCAUGCUUCCAUUUACCUGGUGCAAACAGUCUCUCCCGACAGCGAAGCCUGCUCUCCGAUUUACAAAAUGCCAAAUAAAACACGACAGAAACUGUAUUUCGCUACGAUACUUGAUUCAACAAACACCACUAAAAAAUUUGAUGAGUUUCAUAUUUCUGAAAAAAAACUUUUGGGGGUGUUUUUUUAAUGCACAUAGCCAGCCAUUUUGAAGCAGGCCAGGGCAAUUCGAAAUUAGCAAAAUACUCGAGACAGGACCAAUAUUCAAAAUUUCGGUGUUAACCACUCUAUUUCACCCCAUACAAACCAGAAAGUGGGCUCAAUGUUCAAAAUACCAGAAUUGUCCUAUAAGUACAAGUUAAAAAUGAAAGCUAUAACACAUAACAGCUCUUCUUAUGUAGUUACAAAAAUAUUGCCAGCUGAUCAUGGCCUCUGUGGAAUGUAGAGCGAGAGUACACUAGUGAUGGGUCGUUUGCAACCGAAUCAGUUCGAAUGAGCGAAUCUUUAACAAGAACGAACCGACCUGAUUCUUCUGUCUCGUUCAUUCUCAGACUCAACUCCUCCCAGGCCCUCUAGUUCUCGUUCACUGACUGUGAGUGGUGAAGAGGGACCGUCAGCCAAUGGUAUGCUGUUCUAGGACUGAGUCUGGGAUGCUCUUGUUUAUCACCUUAGAAAAAAAACACAAAUGGGCUUAGUGAGCGAGCGUAUGAUAAUACGAUUAAAUAUCAGUGAAAUGGUAAAUGCAUGCUGUCUUUGUACUUUCUGUGUCAUGCCAGAUAAAUAAAAUAUUUGAAUGUCUCGUCAA
This is a long non-coding RNA of Gadus macrocephalus (Pacific cod), 2730 nucleotides long. RefSeq lists it as uncharacterized. Lineage: Eukaryota; Metazoa; Chordata; Actinopteri; Gadiformes; Gadidae. The transcript is spliced from 2 exons. The record is from RefSeq and is a predicted model, not a curated record.